CAUUAUAAAAAGUUGGCUUUGUGUAAUUACACCGAGCCAUACAACCUAUAAAGUGAAAAUACUGCAGAUUUUAGGACCCCUUCUUCUCUAGUCACAAUCAUUUUAAACAGUGUACCCCAGGAUGAAAAAAGCUCCAUGGCUGACAUGUACAAUUACAUGUAUUAAUGACUGCUCUACAUCCUAUGUUCUGCCUUUGGCCACCACCUCUAUUCCACAUAUAAUUCAUCAUUCUUGUUUGCCUGCAGACUCUUGCAGUGCCUUGUAAUAUUUACAAUCUUUUCAGGUUUUUGCUGGAAAGAAAAGUAGUCUUCUAAAGUUUGAAGAUGGUGAAUAGUGUACUGCUGUCUCCAUGCUGACUGCAGUAACCGGGUUAUCAUAUAUGUUAUGUAUACAUUAUGUAUAUAUAACAUGUGUACAUUUAAAAAUACAGAAAAAAGUGAGCUUGUGCAGAAAUGGAGAAAACAAUGUUAUUCUCAUCACUGUGGGGUUUUAUUAAAAUUAUUUUUUCCCAUGACUUACAUGUUUGGUUCAGAUUAUAGUCACUUUGACUGUAAAUACUGGCUAGUUUUCUAUCCAGGGCUUUUGCAUUAUUUCAUAAUUUUGCUAAAUCAUAUAAUAGUGCUAUUUUCAUCCUUGUCUGAGGUACUUUUCCUCCCCAGAAAUAAUUAACUUGAGGUAAAGCUCAGAAAUUCCCUUCUUAACAAAGAGCCUACUAUAUAAAAAGGGCCUUCCUUUCCAAAAAACACACAAACCUGUCCUUUUCAUUUUCCUUCUUGUAGAGGAGAAAAUGGUUGUACUUAACCAUCCUGCUUGUAAAGUUUAUUCAGAGGAUAGUCUGUAUGUCCAGCCACCAUGUUUACUUCUCAAAGUGCAAGUCUGAUGAAUAGUACUGUAUCUCCAUAUGUGGUAAUGUGAGCAUUUCAUCAUGAAGUACCUGCUGCUAUGUCUGUGAAGUUGGGUGUAACAUCAUAAGAAUAUGAAACCAGUAUUGGUGUAAAUCUAAUGAAAAUAACCCUAUGUAUAUUUGUAGCAGUCUUGAAUCUCUAUUUAAGGUAAUUUGCUGUAAUAUAACAAAUAUUCAUUCUGUUUUUCAUCCCUUCCUUGCCAGUUUUAUAUCAAGCAUGAAUUCCAAUGGUUUGACAGCAAAAUUAUCUGUGAAAGUUUAAAAGGCACUUUUCUGCUGUGAUUUUUGGAUUGAGUGUGGAGUGUUAUGUACAGUUUGAUGGGAUAUAUCAUUUUAGAACCCCAGAUUUAAUUCUAGUCCAAUUAAUUUUGUUUAACUACCUCGUUUUCAGUGCUGUUUUGGGUGCACAAGUAAACACUACCUGUGAAACUUGCUUUUUUGCCUUGAUUCUCAGUAUUCUUUCAGAUUAUAAAUCUGGUCUGCCUCUUUUUUCCCAGUGCUAGCCAACAGUUUGAGAUGAGAGGGAUCAUCACUCUCAUCUGUGUUUAAGUGGAGAGCCAUGUGCUUCUGUGAAAUAUGCUUUGGGGAUUUGGGGGUGGAGAGCAGAAGAAUAAUUGAAAUUGGUGGCAAUAUAGGAUUUAGGUGUAGGAGUUAGUUAUAAAAUAAACAAAUGGUAAGAAAGUACCUGAAUUAGACAAUCCAGUGCCUAUAACUUUGCAUUUUUUAUUAGAGAUGCAUUUCUCGUCUGUGUGCCUAAAGGGCAAUGGGUUGAAAUUGCUUUAACUACCACAGCGAAAUAUUUGACAAAUCCUUCAGCAAUGGCCUAUCAUUCAACAUAUAUUAGCACAGUGCUAGGUAUUUGCAGUGGUAUUUUGUUACCUUAAAACGGCCAAAUGCAUUUAGUUGAAAUGUAGUUGAUAGUAAGGGUUUUAUAUAACUUUAUCCAAUCUCUAAAGUUUAUGGAAGCAUUGACUUUCUUCUUUGCUGUCUUUUCUGAGUGAUGAAAAUGAUGCAUUCCUUUUUUUUCCUUGAAAACUCAGCAAAUGUUUGUAACCAGAUGUUCCUUGUUUCACAUGUUUACUGUGUAACACUACAGCAUAUUUAAUAUUGGUAAAUACUGUAUUUCAGUCAUUAUGCAUAAGUACAUUCCUGAGGUAUAUUUGCCAUCAUUUUGGGAUUCAGUUAUUUUAUCUUCUGUUUGGGUCAGAAAAACUUGAACUAUCUGAGGUGGUAUGCAGGCCAUUUUCUAGAAGAUUGUUUUUUGAAUCUGUAGUUUAUCAAGGACUUGUUCCCCCCCUCCCUUUGUUUAGAAGAGGAAUCAGAAAAGGGGGGUGGUGUGUAGAAAAGGCCUUUGAUUUGAUAGGUGUAAUUUCUAAGAUUGAAAUUUUAAAAAUGCAGAUCGUAAGAUAGUAACACUCAAACUUGAUAAAAUCCUUUGAAUUGAAAUUAGUAUGAAAUUUUUAUGGAACCAAAUGCCUUCAGGUCACCCUGGAAAUAGUCUUUGUAUGUGAAAGAUCAACACAAACAUUGGUCAGGAACCCUGACAGCCAAUAUAUGAAGGAGCCUGGGAUAGUAACUAGGUUACACUAAAGUUAUUUUCAACUAAGAUAGCUAGACGAGUGUACAAACCAAUAGCUCCUAUUCUGGAAGGUUUUCUUUUUAUUAAAAAAAAUUCAAACAAGGUUAAAAGUCAAGCAAGAAGGGAAGAGAGAAACUGGGUUCUGAGAAAAAAAUGUGCCAGUAUAAAAUAAACUCCUAAAUGCGUGCUUGUCAUCCUCUAGUUUUUUUUUAAGUUGAAUUUCUUUUCCACUGUAACUUAAGAUUUGAGAUUGAGGUUUGCGGUCCAGAACAUACCCUCAGCAGAUACAGUGACUAACUGGAAAGUGCAGUUGUUCAAGGUCUGUCAUGCUCAAUCACCUAAAGCUAUAAUUUGUUUGAUAUAUUAAGCAUGUAGACCUAGUGCAGCAUGGGAGCCACUCAGGAAGUUUAUGCAAUUAAUAAACUUUCAGCAUAAUUUACUAUGAAGUAUGCAGAAUUUCACCCUCUUCUCCACACUUAACAUUUAGUUGUAUAUGUGAACUCUCCUUUCUUAAUUGGGGAAUGUAGCAUUAUAUAGAAUGUUGUUAAAGUUAAUUUUAAUCCUUUUUGACAUUAACCUUUUUUUUUUUUUGGUAAACCAAGUGAUCUGCCUUUCAGCAACUGUCUUAUUUUGGUUCUUUGAAACUGUGAUUUUUAUUUCAUUUGUACCCAACCAUUGUAAGUAUUUUGUUUUGUUUCCUGGAAAUUCUGUUUUGAAACAGAAAAUAAAGGCUGUGUUAAAUGAG
RNAcentral lists this long non-coding RNA (3228 nucleotides) under Homo sapiens (human). Its description in RNAcentral is "non-protein coding lnc-FAM120C-1:1". The record is from RNAcentral. Lineage: Eukaryota; Metazoa; Chordata; Mammalia; Primates; Hominidae.